CUCUUCGCUACGCUCUGUGCUUCACGAUGCUCUCUGUUUACGAGGGAGUUUUCUACAUUGGAGUUUAUGUUACUAACUUAUCAGCAAAUUUUUGCAACUAGGUUUUUUUUGUGGGGUGCCACUAAAUCAAUAUACUAGAUUUUUUCGAUAGAGUAACACUAAGAUUUGCGAAGUUUUUGCUGAGUUGUUUUGUCUAAUAGGAUAUCGCAGUGAAGUGCCUCGUGAUAUCUGGGUUCUGGAGAGCAGAAACUUUCAUGUGCUUAGGUGAGGGAUUUUCGGUUUAAUUUUUAUUUAGUAUCCAAUUUUCCACGGAGCGUGUUGUGCCUAAAUUCUGUUGGUCCAUUUUCUGUCAAUUUUGAAGUUCAAAGCCUGUCAAUUACAACAUCAUAGAAUCAGUUAUUGCAGUCGUCACCUUUGAGAACCAGUAUUAUGGAUAAGGCACUGCGGUCAGGUCGAGCUAGGGUCCAGGGAUAUAAUCUGUGGAGGGAACAGAGACGAUCUGAUGAUUCAAUGCAGGUUUGAGAUUUCCAUUUGUUGUCGAAUAUUUUACGUCGCAAAUUGUGAUUUGUAAGGGUUUUCCUCCAAGGCAUGUAGGAAAGUUUUUUUUUGUGUACUCAAUUCCUUCCGAGGGGCAUAGGAACAUGGCGCUUGUUAUCAUCUGCGGACAACCAUGCAGUGGAAAAUCAACUGCUGCAGCAUGUCUUAUGAAAGAAUUUGAGAAGACUAAUAACAUGCCAGUAGUUCUAAUUGACGAGCCUUCGCUCAAUUUGGAUCGUAAUAGUGCAUAUCAAGAUAUGCCUCGAGAGAAGAACCUGCGCGGGAUGUUGCGGUCUGCAGUUGACCGAGCUGUGUCAAUAGACACUAUUGUCAUUGUAGACUCCCUUAAUAAUAUCAAGGUAUUUUGUUAUGUCGGCCUUAUUGCAUCUCCCCUUCGAUAUCUCCAGGAUAAUUAUCGCAUUUCAGCAACGAUUUCAAUGGGCAGUGAUUUUUGCAGCAGGGUUGCAUAUGUUGCAGAUGAAGCACAAUGCCGCGCAUGGAACGAAGAUAGACGAUUAAAAGCGUUGCCCGCUUACGAAGAUAAAAUAUUUAAUGACAUGGUUAGAAGAUUCGAAAGACCCGAUGGAAAAAACCGAUGGAAUUCUCGUCUUUUUGAACUUCAUCCCGGCAAAGAAGAUAUUCACGAAGACUCUCAAGCUAUUGUUGAAACUGUCAGCUUUCUUACUGGUAAUAAAAAUGUUGGGGGUAGUCGGAACCCUCAAAAGCUGCAACCCACUGUUGCCACACAGAAUCCACGAACCUCGGAGACUAAUUCGCUUUAUGAACUAGAUCGGGCUACACAGGAAAUUGUGUUAAUUGUGGUGGAUGCUCAAGCGCAAGGUGUUGGUGGUUUAGUGCGCAGUGUUAAUCUGGGAGAAGGACUGCCUAUCAUCAAUCUACAGCGGAGUGUAGGCCUACCUGAGCUUCGUCGACUUCGUAGAACCUUCCUCAAAUUGGCUGGGCAGUCAAGCCUGUCAGGACCUCCUCCACUAUCAGUUACGAAAAGCGCCAAACGAAUGUUUGCAGACUAUUUGAAUCGCGAGUUGUAUGCAAAUUUGUUGUAGUGCUCACGGCACAACUCUCCUCUAAGGCACAAGAAAGCGAUAUGGAACCACAGCCAAUGGCAAGAUUGUGCAUAUAGCAACAAAGUUGAUCAAUGGUGGUCAACUUGGUCCUGGGAUUGUGACAAGGGAAGUGGCUACUGCGGCACUUCAAGCUCUUAGCACUGUGCAUGCGUGUGGGCUGCUUUAUGGGUAUGUUGAAGCAAGUAGAGAUUGUAAGAGUAAUAAGAAGAAAAAGUUUUUUGUUUUACUGAAUAAAAUAUUAUUUAAUAUUAUGAAGAUUAAA
Molecule: non-coding RNA, 1884 nt
Organism: Physcomitrium patens
Lineage: Eukaryota; Viridiplantae; Streptophyta; Bryopsida; Funariales; Funariaceae
Source: RefSeq, a predicted model, not a curated record